This 292-nucleotide unclassified non-coding RNA is filed under the name plant metagenome. RNAcentral's name for it is "partial contains small subunit ribosomal RNA, internal transcribed spacer 1, and 5.8S ribosomal RNA". The record is from RNAcentral.
UUUCCGUAGGUGAACCUGCGGAAGGAUCAUUAUUGAAUAAACCUGGUGUGGUUGUAGCUGGCCCUUUCGGGAGCAUGUGCACACCCGUCGUCUUUAUCUUUCCACCUGUGCACCUUUUGUAGACCUGGAUGUAACACUUUCCGAGGCAACUCGGCCGGGAGGAAUGCUGUCAGCUUUCCUUGAAUGUCCAGGCCUAUGUUUUCAUAUACCCCAAAGAAUGUAACAGAAUGUAUUAUUGGGCCUUGUGCCUAUAAACUAUAUACAACUUUCAGCAACGGAUCUCUUGGCUCUC